This is a long non-coding RNA of Gymnodraco acuticeps, 1387 nucleotides long. RefSeq lists it as uncharacterized. Lineage: Eukaryota; Metazoa; Chordata; Actinopteri; Perciformes; Bathydraconidae. The transcript is spliced from 2 exons. The record is from RefSeq and is a predicted model, not a curated record.
AGGGGGGGGGGGGGGGGAGAAGAGGAAGGGGUCAGGAUCCUAAUAAAUCACCUUCUUUAAAUCCACUGAAAAUCCACUUUCUUUAGAUUCUUAUUAUUUGUUUGGUUUGGUUGUAACUUUAAAUGUUUGCUUCCUUUUAAGAUUCCCUUCCUUCUCGACCCUUGCUUUGUGUCUGUCUGUCUGCCUGUCUGUGUGUGUGUGUGUCUGUCUGUCUGUCUGUCUGUCUGUCUGUCUGUCUGUCUGUCUGUCUGUCUGUCUGUUUUGUAUUAUUGUUUUACACGUUCAAAAUAAAUCAAAUCAAAUCUAAAAUUCUAAACUGUUUGAUUGGUUCAAACCGAUCAUGUGACUGCUUUUAGUCUUCAUUCAUCAUUGUGUGUAAUCUUUUAUAUCUCAGGUGUGUCUAUAGUGAUGGAAGCAGCAUUACACCUGGAGGAGGGGCAGUUCAAACCCCUGUGAGACUGACCAAUCAGGAAUGGACUAGUGGGCAUGUGACCUCAGCAGACAGGAAUUAGGGAACAGGAUGGAAUGCAAAUCUGUCUUUCAGAAGAAAGCGAGGCAGAGUGGAAGAAGAAAGGGAGGAAAGCGCCACCUCAUCAUUCCCCGGGUCGACCUCCAGAGACGUCACACACACACACACACACACACACACACACACACACACACGGAUACACACAUUUAGAUUUUCUUGUUCAAUAUUCUUGUAUAAGACGAGACAAUGCAAAGACGUACACUUACGGACCCAAAGCUACGGAACAAAAAUAGACACCAAUAGUUUUUUGUUCCCGUUGUUUCAACACUUUUCCUCUUUCAUGCAUUUUGCUGUUUACGACCACUCCCUAACAAACUCAUCAGGAUUCCCUCUCAGCACACGGUCCUCUCUCCAACGGACAGCAGUAACUUCCUCACAGUGACAUCAUGUAAUCAGAUUACUGUUCAAUGUCUCAGAAUGGUGGAUAAAGGAUUCCGGUGUUAGGAGAAACCUAAGAAGAGCAUAUUGCUGUAAAGGAUCAGAUGUUAUCUCUUCUCUGUAAACGUGUCUGCUCUGUGGGCUCAUACUUUAAGUGAGGAUCUAAACGCCUGAAUCUGCUUUGUGAAUGUUUAUUUUAUUUAUGAUCAUUUUCUUUAGAAAGUUCUCAGAAUCAGAUUUAUUUAUGUUUUUCAAAAAUUCGCAAUUUUUUUUUCAUAAUCCUGAUUUGCUCCAAACAAUUCAGACUUAUUUCCCCCCAAACAUGUACAUUCCUAACUCCUUUCAUAAUUCUCACUUUCUAUCAAACAUCUAAAUGUCUUAAAAAAUGUCUUAGAACAGUUUUUAAUUCAGCAGGUGAAUCUAUAUGUUCAUAUAAAAGUGUGUGUGAGCUUAACUGUGUAUUAAACCAUUUUCUGUCAG